This is a long non-coding RNA of Pelobates fuscus (common spadefoot toad), 348 nucleotides long. RefSeq lists it as uncharacterized. The record is from RefSeq and is a predicted model, not a curated record. NCBI's taxonomy places the organism in Eukaryota, Metazoa, Chordata, Amphibia, Anura, Pelobatidae. The transcript has 3 exons.
ACUGCUGCAUGGAGGAGGGCAUAAAAUAAAACAAGCGUGGUUCGUCUAAGUCUCAUACCCUACAUGUGCCAUUUGCAGCAAUGCAGUGCCAUCAGACACAGAGGUCUAAUUCGCUAAAUGCCGAAUAUGCUUUUGGAAUUUCGCCUGAUUGCAUUCAACUCAAUUUAUUUCAUUAACAACAGAAUUGUAAUUGAACUGAACCAAAUGGAUCUCUCCUCUUUUCAAACUGAUCUCAUUGCUGCAGUUAGAUUAAUUUAAAAACAGCUCAACCGAAUUACAGCCAAAUUGCAGCCAAAUUGCUGCAAAUGUCGUCCGCAGUUUGGCACGAGCUGUCAGCAAGUCUAAAAG